This 131-nucleotide microRNA precursor is filed under the name Myotis brandtii (Brandt's bat). RNAcentral describes it as "mir-9193 microRNA precursor family". The record is from Rfam by way of RNAcentral. Lineage: Eukaryota; Metazoa; Chordata; Mammalia; Chiroptera; Vespertilionidae.
UGUGCACCAGUGGGGUCCCUCGGCCUGGCCUGCGCCCGCGCCCUCUUCAAUCCGGGACCCCUUGGGGGAUGUUGGAGAGCCCAUUUUGGCCUGAUCCUGCAGGCCAGGCCGAGGGACCCCACUGGUGCACU